ACUCAUUAGAUACGCUAACGGUAUCCAACAAGUUUUUCUAUCCAUCUUCUUUUAUUUUAUUGAUUUUUUCUUUUCCGUUGCAUUAAAAUUUGAUUCCGCUUGAUUAUAUUUGAUUGUACUCAAUCGACAGAAUCAAAUCAAAAGAGGAUAUAUAAACCCAACUUCUUUUGAUUAUUCGGACACACCAACUAGACAAGUUACAAAAUCACAUUGAUAGCUUCGACUCGUGUCCUAACUCAUCUGAGAGCUAGAUUUACCUCAAUUAUUUGGCUCUUCCCUUCUGCUUUCUUCAAAUUAGCUUAUGCUAUUUCAAGAGUUUGUUGAGCUUCUUAUGAAUCAAUGUGACUACUCUUCCCCGCAUCAUUUAUUAAAUCCGUGAUCUCAUUAUAACCUAUUUUAGCAAAGCCACGCAUCAGAACCAUCGUUAACCAUUGAUCAUAACCACCUCAAAACUUGGGCUUUUACCAGGCUCAAGCCAGACUUUUGGCAUGCCUAAGGUUUAAGGAUCUCAGCCCAGGCCCUACCCGAGAGUGGUUCGAGCUGGACUGGCCCGGUCCAAAAAAAUGGUGCAUUGGCUAUUUAUUUGGCACCAAAAAAACACCACAGCUUCAUGCAUGCCAUUACGGUAUAUCAGACCAAAAUCGAAUAAACCCAUUGCGAUACGUCUCUCUCUACAUUCACUGUUCUUGAAAUUGCUAUGUCCAAAGGCAAAUGUAAUCAAUUGGCUUCGCAUCUGAGACUCGUCCACAAUUCCAAAGUUUUUUUUUUUUUGGAUUGUUAAUGCUGUUUUAUUGAAUUGUAUAUUUAAAAUCCAAUCUGCGUUCAUUGAUUUUAUGCUGUUUUAUUGAAUUGUACAUUUAAAAUCCAAUCUGUGUUCGAUGAUUUUAUGCAGUCGAGAAGGUAUUCCGAGGGGGAUCAAUUCCCGAAGAGGUGAACAAUUACGUUAAUCCUAGUGCUAUAUUCAGUCGAAAACACGUGAAGUUCGGCAUCGAACAGGUCUCAGGUUUAAAACAGCUGUUUGUGGUUGCUUUUCAACUUCCAUGUCGAGGGUUGCAAAGAAAGUUACAUCUCAAUGACAGGAAUUGAUAUUAUGUAGUUUCAAUGGUUUAUGCCAGUGCCCCAGAUAGGCUACCUGAUUCUCUGGUUCUACUUAGGACCUCUGCAACAAAGGUGAAUUCUGGGAAGGGGUUUUGUGUUCUAGGCAUGCAGGUUUUGUUAUUUUUCUUCAUAACUUGGAAUACAGUUUAGAUAAUUAAAUAAAAAUAUAAGUCAUGAACAUGGCCGAAAUUAACUAUUUUGAAUAACAAUGGGAGAGUACUGAGGAAAGACUUCGAUUUCUUUGUUGAAAAUUAUUUAUCUAUUCCUUUUGUUUCCAAAUUUUUUUUUUUUAAAUGAUAAUCUAACAAAUUAAUGGUGUGGCGAUUAAAUUUAAGUAUCAAAUUUUUUAUACAUGCAUCACAAAUUUGAUAUCAAAUCUUUGGUGGCAGGGGAGGCUUAUUAAAUAAGUGUCUUGCUACCGUCAGUCUUAACGACUCUAAUAAGAACAACAUAAUGUUAAAACUAGUCCAGCACACAUUAAUGUUAAAAAUAGUCCAGCAUACAUUAAUGCGUACUAAUAAAAUAUUUAAAUAAGUAAAAAUAAAAUAAAAUAUUUAUUGUAUAUUAUGUACUAGUCAAGUGGUAAGAGUUUUCUUCACCAA
Molecule: non-coding RNA, 1700 nt
Organism: Camellia sinensis
Lineage: Eukaryota; Viridiplantae; Streptophyta; Magnoliopsida; Ericales; Theaceae
Source: RefSeq, a predicted model, not a curated record